ACUCCUUGAUUUGAAUUUCUAGCCUUUCCAUCAUAUUUUGUCCCCUAGGUCCUUGCCAUCUUGAGGUAGUGGAUCUGCUCUCAAAUAUUUUACCACACAUGGUGCUUAUUGAUUAUGAAAGCACAGACUUAACAUUAUCAAUUAGUCAUGCAUAAAAUAGAAGUUACAACUCAUUAUCCGUAAAUUCAAGCUCGUGGAAAUGACUAGUGUACAGAACCUAGAAACCUAAGCAAUGAUAUCAUGAAUGCACAAUAAAUAUGUACUUCGUUUUUAGUGUAC
RNAcentral lists this long non-coding RNA (279 nucleotides) under Olea europaea (common olive). RNAcentral's name for it is "long non-coding RNA (OEUR_LNC013849)". The record is from RNAcentral. Lineage: Eukaryota; Viridiplantae; Streptophyta; Magnoliopsida; Lamiales; Oleaceae.